GAUGAACGCUGGCGGCGUGCCUAAUACAUGCAAGUCGAGCGAACGGACGAGAAGCUUGCUUCUCUGAUGUUAGCGGCGGACGGGUGAGUAACACGUGGAUAACCUACCUAUAAGACUGGGAUAACUUCGGGAAACCGGAGCUAAUACCGGAUGAUAUUUUGAACCGCAUGGUUCAAAAGUGAAAGACGGUCUUGCUGCCACUUAUAGAUGGAUCCGCGCUGCAUUAGCUAGUUGGUAAGGUAACGGCUUACCAAGGCAACGAUGCAUAGCCGACCUGAGAGGGUGAUCGGCCACACUGGAACUGAGACACGGUCCAGACUCCUACGGGAGGCAGCAGUAGGGAAUCUUCCGCAAUGGGCGAAAGCCUGACGGAGCAACGCCGCGUGAGUGAUGAAGGUCUUCGGAUCGUAAAACUCUGUUAUUAGGGAAGAACAUAUGUGUAAGUAACAGUGCACAUCUUGACGGUACCUAAUCAGAAAGCCACGGCUAACUACGUG
This 497-nucleotide ribosomal RNA is filed under the name uncultured bacterium. RNAcentral describes it as "partial 16S ribosomal RNA". It matches the Rfam family "Bacterial small subunit ribosomal RNA", at positions 28 to 507 of the family's 1533-position model. The record is from RNAcentral.